UACGUAGGGGGCGAGCGUUGUCCGGAAUUAUUGGGCGUAAAGAGCUCGUAGGCGGCUCAGCAAGUCGGCUGUGAAAUCCCGAGGCUCAACCUCGGAACUGCAGUCGAUACUGCUGUGGCUAGAGUCUGGUAGAGGAGAAUGGAAUUCCCGGUGUAGCGGUGAAAUGCGCAGAUAUCGGGAGGAACACCAGUAGCGAAGGCGGUUCUCUGGGCCAGUACUGACGCUGAGGAGCGAAAGCGUGGGGAGCAAACAGGAUUAGAAACCCCCGUAGUCC
RNAcentral lists this ribosomal RNA (274 nucleotides) under uncultured bacterium. RNAcentral describes it as "partial 16S ribosomal RNA". It matches the Rfam family "Bacterial small subunit ribosomal RNA", at positions 524 to 796 of the family's 1533-position model. The record is from RNAcentral.